This 354-nucleotide transfer-messenger RNA is filed under the name Oscillospiraceae bacterium. It matches the Rfam family "transfer-messenger RNA". From Rfam's summary of the family: Bacterial tmRNA, also known as 10Sa RNA or SsrA, is named for its dual tRNA and mRNA-like properties. Its role is to liberate the mRNA from a stalled ribosome. To accomplish this part of the tmRNA is used as a reading frame that ends in a translation stop signal. Lineage: Bacteria; Bacillati; Bacillota; Clostridia; Eubacteriales; Oscillospiraceae. The record is from RNAcentral.
GGGGUCGCAAUGGUUUCGACGGGGACCUUGAACGGUGUUAAGCAAGCGGGGUGCGUCCCAAUCCCCUUAAUCGAGGGACAAAUUAAACUUAAACGCUGACAGAAAUACUGUAGCCGCAGCCGCCUGACAGCGGCUGCCGUCCGCCGGAAAAGUACCGCGAUUUCCGCUCGGGCGUCAAUUAGCGGUCAACGUUUCAGGUGAGAAUCCUGCAGCUUGAAACGUAUUAAAGGAUUGCUUUGCCUGUUAUCCCGCUUUUCGGAGAAAAGGCAAAAAAGAUUAGUAGGAAAGAUAAGCUUGUAGAAAGACGCUCGGACGGGUUUUCGGACGGGAGUUCAAUUCUCCCCGACUCCAUGA